ACUCAAAGGAAUUGACGGGGGCCCGCACAAGCGGAGGAGCAUGUGGUUUAAUUCGAUGAUACGCGAGGAACCUUACCUGGGCUUAAAUGUAGGGCGACGUUCCGGGAAACCGGAAUUCCCUUUUGGGCGACCUACAAGGUGCUGCAUGGCUGUCGUCAGCUCGUGCCGUGAGGUGUCGGGUUAAGUCCCAUAACGAGCGCAACCCCUAUUCUUAGUUGCCAUCAGGUAAUGCUGGGGACUCUAAGAAAACUGCCUACGCAAGUAGUGAGGAAGGUGGGGAUGACGUCAAGUCAGCACGGCCCUUACGUCCAGGGCUACACACGUGCUACAAUGGCCGGUACAGUGGGUUGCUACUUGGUAACAAGAUGCUAAUCUCUAAAGCCGGUCUCAGUUCGGAUCGAAGUCUGCAACUCGACUUCGUGAAGUUGGAUUCGCUAGUAAUCGGAUAUCAGCAAUGAUCCGGUGAAUACGUUCCCGGGCCUUGUACACACCGCCCGU
This 498-nucleotide ribosomal RNA is filed under the name uncultured bacterium. Its description in RNAcentral is "bacterial SSU rRNA". It matches the Rfam family "Bacterial small subunit ribosomal RNA", at positions 899 to 1397 of the family's 1533-position model. The record is from RNAcentral.